Non-coding RNA from Myodes glareolus (Bank vole), 460 nucleotides. The record is from the annotation of a RefSeq genome assembly. NCBI's taxonomy places the organism in Eukaryota, Metazoa, Chordata, Mammalia, Rodentia, Cricetidae.
ACCACAGUCUAGGUGUUGGUUACUUGCUUCUGUCUCCAUCAUCCAGACAAGCACCAUGAAGAAGCUGCUGUGCUCUCUGCUGGGGCUUCUGUGCACCCAGGUUUGCUGGGUGAAAGGGCAGCAAGUGAAGCAGAGUCCUGAGUCCUUGGUGCUGCAGGAGGGAGAGAGCACAGAGCUGCAGUGCAACUUUUCCAGCACUGCAAAACAAAUGCAGUGGUUUUACCAAAGUCCUGGGGGACACCUCAUCAGUCUAUUUUACAAUCCUUCUGGAACAAAGCAGAGUGGAAGACUGAAGUCCACGACAAUCACUCAAGAACGCCGCAGCUCUUUGUACAUUUCCUCCUCUCAGACCACAGACUCAGGCACUUAUUUCUGUGCUGUGGAUCCACAGUUCUCCCCACACACCUGCAGCCAGUACACAAACCUUCAGUUGGGUGGGUGUGGCCAUCCCCUCUCAUAA